GUACCGUGAGGGAAAGGUGAAAAGUACCCCGGGAGGGGAGUGAAAUAGUACCUGAAACCGUGUGCCUACAAUCCGUCAGAGCCCUCCUUCGUGGUGGGGUGAUGGCGUGCCUUUUGAAGAAUGAGCCUGCGAGUUAGCGAUACGUGGCGAGGUUAACCCGUGUGGGGUAGCCGUAGCGAAAGCGAGUCCGAAUAGGGCGAUCGUAGUGGCAUGCUCUAGACCCGAAGCGGAGUGAUCUACCCAUGGCCAGGGUGAAGCGUCGGUAAGACGUCGUGGAGGCCCGAACCCACCAGGGUUGAAAACCUGGGGGAUGAGCUGUGGGUAGGGGUGAAAGGCCAAUCAAACUGGGAAAUAGCUCGUACUCCCCGAAAUGUAUUGAGGUACAGCGUCGUGGUUAGGUUUGCUGGAGGUAGAGCUACCAAUAGGACUAGGGGGUGUCAGAGCCUACCGAAUCCUGAUGAACUCCGAAUGCCAGCAAAUUCAUACACGGCAGUGAGGCCUGGGGUGCUAAGGUCCCCGGCCGAGAGGGAAAGAACCCAGACCAACAGCUAAGGUCCCUAAAUGUAGUCUAAGUUGAACAAAGGAGGUCCAGUUGCUUUGACAGCCAGGAGGUUGGCUUGGAAGCAGCCAUUCCUUUAAAGAGUGCGUAACAGCUCACUGGUCGAGCGGGGCGGGCAUCGAUAAUAACCGGGCAUCAAGCAUUUCACCGAAGCGAUGGACUCAUGCAAGAGCAUGAUGUGGUAGGAGAGCAUUCUGUGGGGGGUGAAGCUGGGGCGUGAGCUGCUGGUGGACUGCACAGAAAAGCAAAUGUAGGCAUAAGUAACGAGAAUGGAGACGAGAACGCUCCACACCGAAAGGCUAAGGGUUCCUCCGCGAUGGCAGUCAUCGGAGGGUUAGUCGGGGUCUAAGGGGCAGCCGAAGGGUGGGUCCUGAGGGGGAACAGGUUAAUAGUCCUGUACUACUCAUGCAGGUUUGUUGAUGACGGAGUGCCGGGGGUGGUAGGUCCUGACGGAAUAGGGCGUUGAGACAAGCUUUCGGGCGAGUCGAAUCACUGAAGGGGCUUCCAAGAAAAGUUAACAAGCGUUAAGCGUAUGGGUACCCGUACCGCAAACCGACACAGGUAGCCGGGAAGAAUAUUCUAAGGUGCGCGAAAGAAUCAUGGUUAAGGAACUCGGCAAGAUGACCCUGUAACUUCGGGAUAAGGGGGGCCUACUCAGCGAUGGGAGGCUGCAGAGAAGAGGCCCAGGCGACUGUUUACCAAAAACACAGGACUCUGCUAAAAUGAAAGUUGACGCAUAGGGUCUGACACCUGCCCGGUGCUGGAAGGUUAAGGGGGGAGCUUAGUCGCAAGGCGAAGGUUUGAACUGAAGCCCCAGUAAACGGCGGCCGUAACUAUAACGGUCCUAAGGUAGCGAAAUUCCUUGUCGGGUAAGUUCCGACCUGCACGAAUGGUGUAACGAUCUGGGCACUGUCUCAACCAUGAGUUCGGUGAAAUUGUAGUAGCGGUGAAGAUGCCGCUUACCCGCCACGGGACGGAAAGACCCCGUGCACCUUUACUACAGCUUAACAGUGAUCGCCGGUCAGGCAUGUGUAGGAUAGGCGGGAGGAGUUGAAGCGGUGUCGCCAGGCAUCGUGGAUCCGUCCUUGAAAUACCGCCCUUGGCUGACUGGCGGGCUAACCGCGGAAGGGGGGCCCUGUUUGGGGGGGAGGUUGACUGGGGGGGUCACCUCCGAAAGGG
Molecule: ribosomal RNA, 1738 nt
Filed under: Dendrocalamus latiflorus
Lineage: Eukaryota; Viridiplantae; Streptophyta; Magnoliopsida; Poales; Poaceae
Description: bacterial LSU rRNA
Rfam family: Bacterial large subunit ribosomal RNA
Source: RNAcentral